Molecule: non-coding RNA, 186 nt
Filed under: Ipomoea nil (Japanese morning glory)
Lineage: Eukaryota; Viridiplantae; Streptophyta; Magnoliopsida; Solanales; Convolvulaceae
Description: Eukaryotic large subunit ribosomal RNA
Rfam family: Eukaryotic large subunit ribosomal RNA
Source: Rfam by way of RNAcentral
GGCACGUGUCGUUGGCUAAGCCGUCGUGGCGGAAGGGUCACGGUGGCCGCCUUGAAUUACAAUUCGAUCGAGCGGCGAGCUGAAUCCUUUGCAGACGACUUAAAUACGCGACGGGGUAUUGUAAGGGUAGAGUGGCCUUGCUGCCCACGAUCCUCUGAGAUUCAGCCCUUUGUCGCUCCGAUUCGU